GAUGAACGCUAGCGGCAGGCCUAAUACAUGCAAGUCGAACGGUAACAUGGCAGCAAUGCUGAUGACGAGUGGCGCACGGGUGCGUAACGCGUAUGCAACCUACCCUUCACUGGGGAAUAGCCCGGAGAAAUUCGGAUUAACACCGCAUAAUAUGGUUAGUAGGCAUCUACAUAUCAUUAAAUCUACGGAGGUGAAGGAUGGGCAUGCGUCCAAUUAGCUAGUUGGUGAGGUAAUUGCUCACCAAGGCUAUGAUUGGUAGGGGUUCUGAGAGGAAGGUCCCCCACACUGGUACUGAGAUACGGACCAGACUCCUACGGGAGGCAGCAGUAGGGAAUAUUGGGCAAUGGGCGAGAGCCUGACCCAGCCAUGCCGCGUGAAGGAUGAAGGCUUUCUGAGUUGUUAAACUUCUUUUGGGUACGGAACAAAUAUCCUUGCGAGGAGAACUGAGUGUACCGAUAAGAAUAAGC
RNAcentral lists this ribosomal RNA (467 nucleotides) under uncultured bacterium. RNAcentral describes it as "bacterial SSU rRNA". It matches the Rfam family "Bacterial small subunit ribosomal RNA", at positions 28 to 491 of the family's 1533-position model. The record is from RNAcentral.